Molecule: ribosomal RNA, 430 nt
Filed under: bacterium
Lineage: Bacteria
Description: partial 16S ribosomal RNA
Rfam family: Bacterial small subunit ribosomal RNA
Source: RNAcentral
UGGGGAAUAUUGGACAAUGGGCGAAAGCCUGAUCCAGCCAUGCCGCGUGUGUGAAGAAGGCCUUUUGGUUGUAAAGCACUUUAAGCGAGGAGGAGGCUACUUAGAUUAAUACUCUAGGAUAGUGGACGUUACUCGCAGAAUAAGCACCGGCUAACUCCGUGCCAGCAGCCGCGGUAAUACAGAGGGGGCGAGCGUUAAUCGGAUUUACUGGGCGUAAAGCGUGCGUAGGCGGUUUUUUAAGUCGGAUGUGAGAUCCCUGGGCUUGACUUAGGACUUGCAUUCGAUACUGGGAAGCUAGAGUAGGGGAGAGGAUGGUGGAAUUCCAGGUGUAGCGGUGAAAUGCGUAGAGAUCAGGGGGAAUACCGAAGGCGAAGGCAGCCAUCUGGCCUAAUACUAACGCUGAGGUACGAAAGCAUGGGGAGCAAACAGG